RNAcentral lists this long non-coding RNA (2694 nucleotides) under Mus musculus (house mouse). RNAcentral describes it as "long non-coding RNA chr4:141540911-141543605". The record is from RNAcentral. Lineage: Eukaryota; Metazoa; Chordata; Mammalia; Rodentia; Muridae.
AAAUCGAGAGUUUCUUUUUCUCAGUGCUUUGCAUUUUUUGCUGGCAACACAUCAGGAAACACUGGUGAAGUUGUUUUCCCGUUUCCAUCUGUGUUACAAAAUACUUAAGGGGGAUUUCUUCAUGAACCUGUAUCGUUGUAAGUUUCCAUAGAAGGGAAGAACAAAACAAAGAAGAGCUGACAGAAAGAUAAUCUAAUCUUCUGAUUUUUAAAAAAGAAGCUUAGGUCAGGGAUAGAAAGAUGACUCAGCACCAAAGAGUGAUUUACUGUUCUUUCAGAAAUCUAAGAUGGAUUCCAGCACUAGUGUAUGGCUCACAGUCAACCACCUGUAAGUCUAACUCUUCAGGUAUCCCAGGCCUCUGGCAUCUAAGAGCAUCUGCAUUCUCCUGCACAAACACAAAGAGGAAAAGCACACACACACACACACACACACACACACACACACACACACACACACAAUUAGAAAUAAAAACAGAGAUGAGCAUGGUGGUGCACACUUUUAAUAUCAGCACUCAGGAGGCAGAGGCAGGUGAAUCUCUGUAAAUUCAAGUAGGUUCCAUUGACAGCUGGGGCUACAUAGAAAGAGCCUGUCUCACACACACACACACACACACACACACACAAUUUUUUUUUAAAUUACAACAUAAAAAUAAAACUUUAAAAAAUGCUUAGUAAUGGCUAGGUAUGGUUGUACACACCAUUAAUCACAGCACUUGGGAGGCAGGGGCCAGCGGGUCUCUGUGAGUUGGAAUCCAGUCUACAUAUUGAGUUCUACAACAGCCAAGGUAAAAUAGUAAAACCCUGUCUCAAAAUAAUAUUAAUAACAACAACAAUGACAACAGUAAUUGAUACUCAUGGCAAAAGGGUAACCAGAAGGCUUCUAGGCCCUAACUCCAUGAUAGAGCACUUAUCUAUGAUGCACCGCCCAUCCCCAUCCCUGCAAAUCACAUUAAUGUAGGUUGCGUUUUAACUGUGAAAAUGGAUCAAGUGCAUCUCAUUUGAAUAUUAAAGAGAACUCCAGGAAGGUGACAGUAAAACUGAGCCAUUUGCAGAGGCGAAUUAAAAUAGAUUUGCUUUUAAUCAACUCCUAUUUUCACACUGUGAAGAGCUGCUGUAUUUAGCAUGCUAGACAUGCUCACAGAGUUCAGUCAUGCGGAAUGGCGGCUGAGAUGGGGAAAGCUGCUGAGCGCCAGGCUCAGGCUUUGAGCAGUAACCUCGUCUCUGGAGUGGGUAAUUAAUAUACCUAUUUAGGCAGGAGGACAGAGUAGUCACCAGAUACUUCACGACAAAUUGAUACAAAAAGAAAUAGUUACAAAUACUGGGAGACAGGUACUUAAAAUAUAUGCAUUUCGUCUAAAAGCCACCAUAUAAAAAUAUGUAAACAAGCUCUAAAAUGACCCAGCCCAAAGCACAUGAGAACUGGACAAUAGCAAUUUCAGACAAGCCUGUUCUAAUCAGAGUCUUUGUUUUUCCAAAAAAUGAAACAAAAUAAAAUGCUCAAAAGUAUUUGACUACUUGAUGUAUCUGAGAGUCUAAUGGUAAGAGAGAGAGAGAGAGAGAGAGAGAGCAAUCUAAUACCAAACUAGCACACAGUGUGAGGAAAUUAUCUUCAUAGAUUAUCAGAACCCCCAAGUUGAAUAUUGUCUACCUAGACCUAGAGACUCUAACAAGAACUAAUACUUCAUAGUCUAAUGUUCUAAGAGAGUUAAAUAAUGUAUUCUCUGUUGGUUUUAGUUUUCCAGAAAAACAGAAUAACUUAAUAAUUUCUUAGAGGAUUGAUUCCUAACUUUCUAGCCUUUUUCAUCUGAGAGCAGUUGUUGGGAAGAUUUCUCCGGGUACAAGUGCUGCUGCUCUGUCUAAUAUCCAGAGUUAUUAACUAAUAUUUGUAGAAUUAUACUGAAAAGACACUGGAGGGAUACUUAUAAAUGUAAAUCAUGGUUGUUGUUUCAGGUAACAGAAUCUGAAUUUUCUUGUUUCUUCUGGAAUAGCUUCCCGUGACUCAGGAUAGCCAAAAGUUUCCAUGGAGUCCGGGAUGGCCUCUGUUUCUCAAGUGUGGGGAUCACAGGAGUGAGCCACUUUAAUCAGUGAGGAUGUGGAUUAAAAAAAAAAAAUAUUUGGCUAGGUGUAGUGACACAUACCCUUAGUCCCAGCACUUGAGAGGCAGUGAGUUCCAGGACAGCCAGGGCUAUACAAAGAAACCCAGUGUUGAAAAACCAAAAUAAAUAAGAUAGAUAGAUAGAUAGAUAGAUAGAUAGAUAGAUAGUCCUCUAUAUUUUCUAAACUUCUCUUCACUUUUAUAAUUGGAAAAAAUCAUAACAAAUAUACUUUGGGAUUCUUUAUUUUGCAGUGUGGUGCUGGGAAUCAAACGCAGAGUUUCCACACAUGCCAUUUGAGCUCACCCUCAGUCCAAUUAAAUGAGAUUUUCUUGGAAGGCAGCAGCUGAAUCAAUUAGGGUUCCUCUGAAAUGUUAGUACUUGACUACCAUAAAUCACUAUGUACAAUAGAUCCCAUAUGAACAAAUGGUAAUGUUACUAACAGUCAUUUUCAUAGAUCCUUUUCUUUUUUUAUUUUCAUUUUUAUUUUUUGAUCAGGCCUGGACUCCCUACCAAUUGCCUCUGCCAUUGCUGGAAUUAAUGGCAUUUUACUGCCUCAUUUAUCCUUUAAAACCCCAAAAGUAGUGUUAAUCUUCACAUUC